This 254-nucleotide ribosomal RNA is filed under the name uncultured bacterium. RNAcentral describes it as "partial 16S ribosomal RNA". It matches the Rfam family "Bacterial small subunit ribosomal RNA", at positions 100 to 354 of the family's 1533-position model. The record is from RNAcentral.
CGGGGUGAGUAACGCGUGGAUAACCUGCCGUAGUGCAGGGGGAGUACCAACUGGAAACAGUUGCUAAUACCGCAUAAGCGCACAGUGUCGCAUGACACGGUGUGAAAAGAAUUAUCGGCAUACGAUGGAUCCGCGUCCGAUUAGCCAGUUGGCGGGGUAACGGCCCACCAAAGCGACGAUCGGUAGCCGGCCUGAGAGGGCGGACGGCCACAUUGGGACUGAGACACGGCCCAAACUCCUACGGAAGGCAGCAG